Burkholderia sp. is the source of this 211-nucleotide small RNA. It matches the Rfam family "Burkholderia sRNA Bp1_Cand738_SIPHT". The record is from Rfam. NCBI's taxonomy places the organism in Bacteria, Pseudomonadati, Pseudomonadota, Betaproteobacteria, Burkholderiales, Burkholderiaceae.
CAAAAAGCCAGCGCUGACUGGGCGCUGGCCAGGGCAACAAACAGACCGUCGAAAAACCGUGCAGGUGUCGGCCGACGGAGACGCGUUGCGUCUAUAGGACCGGGGAUGGAUUGGUUCAAAAAACUUGAGCCUGCAACCAAUGUGAGCGGAUUCUAGCAGGGUUUUAUAGAUCGUCAACACUAUAGAAAUAGAUUUUCAUAACAAAAAGUAA